RNAcentral lists this long non-coding RNA (294 nucleotides) under Panax ginseng (ginseng). RNAcentral's name for it is "long non-coding RNA (PGIN_LNC009899)". The record is from RNAcentral. Lineage: Eukaryota; Viridiplantae; Streptophyta; Magnoliopsida; Apiales; Araliaceae.
CUUUAGUAAGAUGGCUUCAGUAGCGAUAACAAUUCCUUGAAUAUAUGCUUCUUCUACAAAGCAAAUUUCACCUGCUGCUCGAUCUACUUCUAGUAUCAACCCCACUUCUUAUUUUACAGAAACUUAUAUAUAGUAUGUAAUUUUUGUUAUUGCUUCUUUAUACUAUACUAAAUAUAUAUUUUUAAUUGAUUGGGGUUUAGGGCUUAGAGUAGGUUAGCUUCCUUCAGUUGAAUCUGAUCCUUAUUGUAUUCGAAUUUGAAGUAUAUGCUGUAAUAGUAAAAAAUAUUGAACGGU